RNAcentral lists this ribosomal RNA (890 nucleotides) under Bacillus sp. EA10. RNAcentral describes it as "bacterial SSU rRNA". It matches the Rfam family "Bacterial small subunit ribosomal RNA", at positions 49 to 918 of the family's 1533-position model. The record is from RNAcentral. Lineage: Bacteria; Bacillati; Bacillota; Bacilli; Caryophanales; Bacillaceae.
CUAUACAUGCAGUCGAGCGAAUGAUGAAGAAGCUUGCUUCUUCUGAUUUAGCGGCGGACGGGUGAGUAACACGUGGGCAACCUACCUAGUAGAUUGGGAUAACUCCGGGAAACCGGGGCUAAUACCGAAUAAUCCAUUUUGUCACAUGGCAAAAUGCUGAAAGGCGGUUUCGGCUGUCACUACUAGAUGGGCCCGCGGUGCAUUAGCUAGUUGGUGGGGUAACGGCCUACCAAGGCAACGAUGCAUAGCCGACCUGAGAGGGUGAUCGGCCACAUUGGGACUGAGACACGGCCCAAACUCCUACGGGAGGCAGCAGUAGGGAAUCUUCCACAAUGGACGAAAGUCUGAUGGAGCAACGCCGCGUGAGUGAUGAAGGUUUUCGGAUCGUAAAACUCUGUUGUAAGGGAAGAACAAGUACGUUAGUAACUGAACGUACCUUGACGGUACCUUAUUAGAAAGCCACGGCUAACUACGUGCCAGCAGCCGCGGUAAUACGUAGGUGGCAAGCGUUGUCCGGAUUUAUUGGGCGUAAAGCGCGCGCAGGUGGUUUCUUAAGUCUGAUGUGAAAGCCCACGGCUCAACCGUGGAGGGUCAUUGGAAACUGGGAGACUUGAGUGCAGAAGAGGAAAGUGGAAUUCCAAGUGUAGCGGUGAAAUGCGUAGAGAUUUGGAGGAACACCAGUGGCGAAGGCGACUUUCUGGUCUGUAACUGACACUGAGGCGCGAAAGCGUGGGGAGCAAACAGGAUUAGAUACCCUGGUAGUCCACGCCGUAAACGAUGAGUGCUAAGUGUUAGGGGGUUUCCGCCCCUUAGUGCUGCAGCUAACGCAUUAAGCACUCCGCCUGGGGAGUACGGCCGCAAGGUUGAAACUCAAAUGAAAUUUGACGGGA